RNAcentral lists this small nuclear RNA (143 nucleotides) under Cervus elaphus hippelaphus. It matches the Rfam family "U2 spliceosomal RNA", at positions 45 to 188 of the family's 192-position model. Rfam says of the family: U2 is a small nuclear RNA (snRNA) component of the spliceosome (involved in pre-mRNA splicing). Lineage: Eukaryota; Metazoa; Chordata; Mammalia; Artiodactyla; Cervidae. The record is from RNAcentral.
CUUACCAGUUUAAUAUCUGAUAUGCCCUCUAUCCGAGGACAAUAUAUUAAAUGGAUUUUUGGAGCAGCAAGUUGGAAUAGGAGAUCGCUCCAUUCACUCCUAGCUCUGACCUGAUAUUGCAGUACCUCCAGGAACGGUGCACC